AUACGUAGGGGGCGAGCGUUGUCCGGAAUGAUUGGGCGUAAAGGGCGCGUAGGCGGCCCGGUAAGUCUGGAGUGAAAGUCCUGUUUUUAAGAUGGGAAUUGCUUUGGAUACUGUCGGGCUUGAGUGCAGGAGAGGUAAGUGGAAUUCCCAGUGUAGCGGUGAAAUGCGUAGAGAUCGGGAGGAACACCAGUGGCGAAGGCGGGUAACUGGACUGCAACUGACGCUGAGGCGCGAAAGUGUGGGGAGCAAACAGGAUUAGAUACCCUGGUAGUCCACACUGUAAACGAUGAAUGCUAGGUGUAAGAGGUAUCGACCCCUUUUGUGCCGGAGUCAACACAAUAAGCAUUCCGCCUGGGGAGUACGGCCGCAAGGUUGAAACUUAAAGGAAUUGACGGGG
This 397-nucleotide ribosomal RNA is filed under the name uncultured bacterium. Its description in RNAcentral is "partial 16S ribosomal RNA". It matches the Rfam family "Bacterial small subunit ribosomal RNA", at positions 523 to 918 of the family's 1533-position model. The record is from RNAcentral.